AAACCAGCACCUCAAGUGGUCAGGAUGAUUAUUGGGCCUAAAGCAUCCGUAGCCUGCUCUGUAAGUUUUCGGUUAAAUCUGUAUGCUCAACAUACAGGCUGCCGGGAAUACUGCAGAGCUCGGGAGUGGGAGAGGUAGACGGUACUCGGGAGGAAGUGGUAAAAUGCUUUGAUCUCUCGAUGACCACCUGUGGCGAAGGCGGUCUACCAGAACACGUCCGACGGUGAGGGAUGAAAGCUGGGGGAGCAAACCGGAUUAGAUACCCGAGUAGUCC
This 274-nucleotide ribosomal RNA is filed under the name uncultured bacterium. Its description in RNAcentral is "partial 16S ribosomal RNA". It matches the Rfam family "Archaeal small subunit ribosomal RNA", at positions 473 to 747 of the family's 1478-position model. The record is from RNAcentral.